UGUCCCGGAGCCUCCCGGCCUAAUGCCCUGGCAGCAGCCCCUCCCUCCCUCGCUCCUGCCCGAGGCGAUGCUGGGCAAACAGGGCCAGGCCUCGCCCUGUGCUCCCGCCGCGGGGCCGGGCCGCGCUGGGCUCGGGGGCAUCGCAGGAGAGGCCGUGCCACGGCAGGCGGGCGCAGGGCCAUGUGCAUAUAAAGCCCGGGGCAGCAGCCCGGCAGGCUUGUUCAGCACAACCACACCUCGGCUCACCUGGCAGCACAGCCAGGCGCUGAUCCCCGGAGUACCCGAGCGUGGGAGUGAUCUGCCCAUGGGCCCCCGCCGGCUGCUGCUUCUGGCGCUGCUUCAGGCAGUUUGGAAAGGCGCCCUGGGAAAGUCCCAUUCACUGCACACUCGAGGAAUCAUUGAACUGGCUGGAGCCAUAACGUGUGGCACGGGACGGUCUCCCUUGGCAUAUAUUGGCUAUGGGUGCUACUGUGGACUGGGAGGACGAGGCUGGCCUAAAGAUAAAACAGACUGGUGCUGCCACAGGCAUGACUGCUGCUAUGACACGGCAGAGAAGGAAGGCUGCAACCCCAAGGUGCAGCGCUACCAGUGGGCGUGUGAGCAGAACACCGUGCGGUGUGGGUUGAUCCAUCAAAGUCCAAUGAAGUCUGGAAAAAUUCCUAUACUCAUUCCAGUUGGUUUUGGAGUGAAGCCUAUGUGCACUGGCACAUUAAACUUUGCCUAGUGCAGGGUUCUGUGGCAGUUAGAUAAUCCAUGGUAGCAGCCUCAAAGAAGCAAGAUAACCUGACAGACCGAUGUGAAAAAAUGGUGUGCUUGUGUGACCAAGAAGCAGCCAAGUGCUGGGGAGCAGCCCCAUACAAUCCUCACUUCAUCCUCUGGCCAGACUUUUUAUGUGGACAGACGCAUCCCACCUGCCAUGUCAGAUAUGGAGGGCCAGAAUAGUCUUUUUAGGACCUUUCUUCAAACAAUUUGAACUUGAAGUAGUGGAAUAAAAAUUUUCCUCGUUUUCCAGAUCUAACAA
This is an RNA transcript of Zonotrichia leucophrys gambelii, 1021 nucleotides long. It is a transcript of the gene named phospholipase A2-like, with no coding region annotated. The transcript has 5 exons. The record is from RefSeq and is a predicted model, not a curated record. Lineage: Eukaryota; Metazoa; Chordata; Aves; Passeriformes; Passerellidae.